RNAcentral lists this transfer RNA (69 nucleotides) under Rattus norvegicus (Norway rat). It matches the Rfam family "tRNA". Rfam says of the family: Transfer RNA (tRNA) molecules are approximately 80 nucleotides in length. Their secondary structure includes four short double-helical elements and three loops (D, anti-codon, and T loops). Further hydrogen bonds mediate the characteristic L-shaped molecular structure. tRNAs have two regions of fundamental functional importance: the anti-codon, which is responsible for specific mRNA codon recognition, and the 3' end, to which the tRNAs corresponding amino acid is attached (by aminoacyl-tRNA synthetases). tRNAs cope with the degeneracy of the genetic code in two manners: having more than one tRNA (with a specific anti-codon) for a particular amino acid; and 'wobble' base-pairing, i.e. permitting non-standard base-pairing at the 3rd anti-codon position. Lineage: Eukaryota; Metazoa; Chordata; Mammalia; Rodentia; Muridae. The record is from Rfam by way of RNAcentral.
GGGGAUGUAGCUCAGUGGUAGAGCACUUGCCUAGCAAGCUCAAGACCCUGGGUUCGGUCCCCAGCUCCA